RNAcentral lists this ribosomal RNA (498 nucleotides) under uncultured bacterium. Its description in RNAcentral is "bacterial SSU rRNA". It matches the Rfam family "Bacterial small subunit ribosomal RNA", at positions 8 to 507 of the family's 1533-position model. The record is from RNAcentral.
AGAGUUUGAUCCUGGCUCAGGAUGAACGCUAGCGGGAGGCCUAACACAUGCAAGCCGAGCGGUAUAGAAUCUUCGGAUUUUAGAGAGCGGCGUACGGGUGCGGAACACGUGUGCAACCUACCUUUAUCUGGAGGAUAGCCUUUCGAAAGGAAGAUUAAUACUCCAUAAUAUAUUGAUUGGCAUCAAUUAAUAUUGAAAGCUCCGGCGGAUAGAGAUGGGCACGCGCAAGAUUAGUUAGUUGGUGAGGUAACGGCUCACCAAGACGAUGAUCUUUAGGGGGCCUGAGAGGGUGAUCCCCCACACUGGUACUGAGACACGGACCAGACUCCUACGGGAGGCAGCAGUGAGGAAUAUUGGACAAUGGGUGCAAGCCUGAUCCAGCCAUCCCGCGUGAAGGACGACUGCCUAUGGGUUGUAAACUUCUUUUGUAUAGGGAUAAACCUCUCCUCGUGAGGAGAGCUGAAGGUACUAUACGAAUAAGCACCGGCUAACUCCGUG